This 73-nucleotide transfer RNA is filed under the name Marmota monax (woodchuck). RNAcentral's name for it is "tRNA.Gly". The record is from RNAcentral. Lineage: Eukaryota; Metazoa; Chordata; Mammalia; Rodentia; Sciuridae.
UGAGGAUGUAGCUCAGUGGUACAGCACUUGCUUACCAUGUACAAGGCCUUGGGUUCAAUCCCCAGCACCGCAA